UCCAAUAUGGCGAACUUGGAACAAGCGGCAGUCUUCGCAGAGCCAAAACGAGAAAUUUUGAAUCGUAAUGAUGUCGUAAAGUGGGAAAAGUCACAGGCAUACAGUGAUUACCUUGGAUUUAUCCUCACUUUGAAUGAUGCUGUUAAAGGGAAAAAAAUGUCGGUCGACUGUUCAACAUCAGAGGCUUUAACGAAACUGAUCACUAUGCUUGAAACCAUGGACACUUGGAUUGAUGAAACCCCACCUAUUGACCAGCCACAACGAUUUGGAAACAAAGCCUUCAGAACAUGGUGCAGUAGACUUGAAGAGAAUGCUGAUGUAAUGAUCCAAGGACUUCUUCCAGAAAAAUUUACAGGGGCCAGCAUAGAACUUGCCGCAUAUCUCAAAGAUGGUUUUGGAAAUAAAACAAGAAUAGACUAUGGAACAGGUCAUGAGGCUUGUUUUAUUGCAUUUCUAUGCUGUCUGUUCAAACUCAGAGUGCUGGAUCAAAGUGACUGUGCUUCAAUAGUGUUCAGGGUGUUUCAAAGGUAUUUAGAACUGAUGAGAAGGCUUCAGUCAACAUACAGAAUGGAACCAGCAGGCAGCCAAGGUGUCUGGGGACUAGAUGAUUUCCAGUUUGUUCCAUUUAUUUGGGGGAGCUCUCAGUUGAUUGAUCAUCCAAGUUUAGAACCAAAGGACUUUGUUAAAUCUUCUGUUGUGGAAAGUCAUCACCUUGAUUACAUGUUCUUUGGCUGCAUCAAGUUUAUAAAUGAGAUGAAAAGUGGACCUUUUGCAGAACAUUCUAAUGUUUUAUGGGGUAUCAGUUCUGUUAAAAUAUGGGACAAAGUAAAUUCUGGCCUGAUAAAAAUGUACAAAGCUGAGGUCCUAUCAAAGUUUCCUGUUAUCCAACACUUUGUGUUUGGGACGUUAUUGUCUUUAGAAGAAGCAGAAGUAUUUAAGAAACCUUUGUAAAAAAAAUUGUAAAUAUUUAUAGAGCAAUAAUUUUGACAUUAUUAUUGUUUUAUUUAUCAUGUUUAUAUGGAGCUGAUAACAAUGUAGGUAAAAUUUAAGGUGAUCUUUAGAAGACGUCACUAUCUUUAAAAAAAAUGCCAUAAUCAUGCAAAGGCGUUGGUGUGAAAAAAUCAGUAAUAUUUGUUCGUGUGUGGAACUUUACUGUAACCUGUAUGUAUCUCAGUCCCUUUCAAUUGCACGUUAUGUAUCUUCAUAUUCAGUCAAUUGCUAAGUCAUUGACAGCUCUCUCCAUGACUUCAUUUAACUGCCUACAAAGAUAAGUGGUACGAUAGAGUUUCUGUUGCUGUCAGCACAUCAUUCCGCAGAAACAGUCAGAGACAACAAUUCGAAACAAUGCACGACUCACUGCAGUUCAUGCAUGCGUUACCCACUCUCACGACGAGAGAAAAUAGUACAAACUAGAUAGUCUCUUUAAUAGCGUUUCUAUUUGUGGUUAAGCACGGGAAGUUUUGAUAGACGGAUGCAAGAACAGCACGAAGGUUGGCGAUAAGGAAGCUUGCGCCUUACGGGUCGACAUACUUUUAUUUAUUCCGAAAAUUCAGUUCCUAGACGACCAGCCAUGCUGAUUUCAAACACUUACUUACAAUUUGUUCAGUUUACGCAUCGACACUGACAGUUUGUAUCUACGGCCUUAAAGUGUUAAGUUUGGGGCUGAUUACUGCAGUAACAAGGCGCAAAAUACUUGCAGCUAAACUAAAGUGACCCGAUUCUUUUUUAAAAGAAAAAGGAAAGUAAAACUUUAAAAAGCGUUUCAUGUGCUUGUUUUAAAUAUUAAAGAAUGAUUCACAUCCUCUCUUUGUACUAAGGCCUCGCAGUGAAUCCAUGGUGGACAAGCGUUUGAGCUUGAGCACACGCAAAUCCCUAAAUUAUGGUUGCCUGGGAUACUAAUGUAUGCAGUUGAUCUACAUGUUGCGUCUAUCAUGGAUCUGUCUACGAGCUGGAAUUUGGAAAUGUGAUAGCCUAGCUCUGUCCUUUGAGGUGUGUGUACUUGGCCGUGGAUAUCCAAGAGUAAACCACGCCCUGAAAUGGCCAAAUUUGCUUUGCAGAUGAGUGUAAUGGCGUCUGGGAUAUUUAAAGUUGCUUCAUUGAUUUCUCUGUUGGCAUCCAGUUUUGUUCUCUUCAACAAGUUGUACACAACAUGUGUUCGAUUACCUAUUGUGAAAACAAUUUACAAACAUCUCGGAACUCAGUAUUGUAACUCAAACUAAUAAAACUUCAAUUGUUAGAUUGUCCACUGAGAAGAUCAACUGAACGAUAAAACAAUCAAGCAAGGCAUGAUAUGGAAAUUACAGUAAUGCAAGAAAGCACCGCAAAAAAAGGCCUCCCCAAGAAACUGACCCGAACAGUGUCGGUGCAGAGCAAGUGUGUUUUCUUCUGGGCGAAUACUCAACUUUGUGAUCCACCAGAAUUAUUGAAUUGGGGAGAUCGCAAAAUGUUGGAGAGCGGAGUAGAUAAAUCUAUCUGUGCGAUUGAAAUACUGGGUUAUCCGUUCUUGACUUUCGUAAAUCUUACAAAUCCAGUAAACUGGCUUCGAAUUCAACACACGAUGGGUAGAUUGUGCACUUGCUUGCCAGAUCGUACGCCUGUAGUGUAGGGGUACCAGUAAUAAGAUCUUGGUUCUUGCUCUAAUGCAUACUUAAUGCAAUCAACUCUAAGUUGGAAUUCUGUUUGUAAAACUUGUCGAAGAAAUCCGAGAAAUAAUGAAAGUGUCAGAGAAGGAAUAUGUUGCAUUAUUUCUCGGAUUUCUUCG
Pocillopora verrucosa is the source of this 2761-nucleotide non-coding RNA. The record is from RefSeq and is a predicted model, not a curated record. NCBI's taxonomy places the organism in Eukaryota, Metazoa, Cnidaria, Anthozoa, Scleractinia, Pocilloporidae.